This 240-nucleotide ribosomal RNA is filed under the name uncultured bacterium. RNAcentral's name for it is "partial 16S ribosomal RNA". It matches the Rfam family "Bacterial small subunit ribosomal RNA", at positions 524 to 763 of the family's 1533-position model. The record is from RNAcentral.
UACGUAGGGUGCAAGCGUUAAUCGGAAUUACUGGGCGUAAAGCGUGCGCAGGCGGUUAUGUAAGACAGAUGUGAAAUCCCCGGGCUCAACCUGGGAACUGCAUUGUGACUGCAUAGCUAGAGUACGGUAGAGGGGGGAUGGAAUUCCGCGUGUAGCAGUGAAAUGCGUAGAUAUGCGGAGGAACACCGAUGGCGAAGGCAAUCCCCUGGACCUGUACUGACGCUCAUGCACGAAAGCGUG